Molecule: ribosomal RNA, 811 nt
Filed under: uncultured bacterium
Lineage: Bacteria
Description: bacterial SSU rRNA
Rfam family: Bacterial small subunit ribosomal RNA
Source: RNAcentral
AGAGUUUGAUCCUGGCUCAGAUUGAACGCUGGCGGCAUGCUUUACACAUGCAAGUCGAACGGCAGCGCGGGGCAACCUGGCGGCGAGUGGCGAACGGGUGAGUAAUAUAUCGGAACGUACCCAAGAGUGGGGGAUAACGUAGCGAAAGUUACGCUAAUACCGCAUACGAUCUAAGGAUGAAAGUGGGGGAUCGCAAGACCUCAUGCUCCUGGAGCGGCCGAUAUCUGAUUAGCUAGUUGGUGAGGUAAAGGCUCACCAAGGCGACGAUCAGUAGCUGGUCUGAGAGGACGACCACCCACACUGGAACUGAGACACGGUCCAGACUCCUACGGGAGGCAGCAGUGGGGAAUUUUGGACAAUGGGCGCAAGCCUGAUCCAGCAAUGCCGCGUGAGUGAAGAAGGCCUUCGGGUUGUAAAGCUCUUUUGUCAGGGAAGAAACGGUUGAGGCUAAUAUCCUCGGCUAAUGACGGUACCUGAAGAAUAAGCACCGGCUAACUACGUGCCAGCAGCCGCGGUAAUACGUAGGGUGCAAGCGUUAAUCGGAAUUACUGGGCGUAAAGCGUGCGCAGGCGGUUUUGUAAGUCUGUCGUGAAACCCCCGGGCUCAACCUGGGAAUUGCGAUGGACUCUGCAAGGCUUGAAUCUGGCAGAGGGGGGUAGAAUUCCACGUGUAGCAGUGAAAUGCGUAGAGAUGUGGAGGAACACCGAUGGCGAACGGCAGCCCCCUGGGUCAAGAUUGACGCUCAUGCACGAAGCGUGGAGAGCAACAAGGAUUAGAUACCCCUGAUAGUCCCACGCCCCUAAACGAUGUC